This 830-nucleotide ribosomal RNA is filed under the name bacterium enrichment culture clone CO13. RNAcentral describes it as "bacterial SSU rRNA". It matches the Rfam family "Bacterial small subunit ribosomal RNA", at positions 395 to 1213 of the family's 1533-position model. RNAcentral also lists the same sequence under 1 other name. The record is from RNAcentral.
CGCCGCGUGAGUGAUGAAGGUUUUCGGAUCGUAAAGCUCUGUUGUUAGGGAAGAACAAGUACCGUUCGAAUAGGGCGGUACCUUGACGGUACCUAACCAGAAAGCCACGGCUAACUACGUGCCAGCAGCCGCGGUAAUACGUAGGUGGCAAGCGUUGUCCGGAAUUAUUGGGCGUAAAGGGCUCGCAGGCGGUUUCUUAAGUCUGAUGUGAAAGCCCCCGGCUCAACCGGGGAGGGUCAUUGGAAACUGGGGAACUUGAGUGCAGAAGAGGAGAGUGGAAUUCCACGUGUAGCGGUGAAAUGCGUAGAGAUGUGGAGGAACACCAGUGGCGAAGGCGACUCUCUGGUCUGUAACUGACGCUGAGGAGCGAAAGCGUGGGGAGCGAACAGGAUUAGAUACCCUGGUAGUCCACGCCGUAAACGAUGAGUGCUAAGUGUUAGGGGGUUUCCGCCCCUUAGUGCUGCAGCUAACGCAUUAAGCACUCCGCCUGGGGAGUACGGUCGCAAGACUGAAACUCAAAGGAAUUGACGGGGGCCCGCACAAGCGGUGGAGCAUGUGGUUUAAUUCGAAGCAACGCGAAGAACCUUACCAGGUCUUGACAUCCUCUGACAAUCCUAGAGAUAGGACGUCCCCUUCGGGGGCAGAGUGACAGGUGGUGCAUGGUUGUCGUCAGCUCGUGUCGUGAGAUGUUGGGUUAAGUCCCGCAACGAGCGCAACCCUUGAUCUUAGUUGCCAGCAUUCAGUUGGGGCACUCUAAGGGUGACUGCCGGGUGACAAACCGGAGGGAAGGUGGGGAUGACGUCAAAUCAUCAUGCCCUUAUGACCCUGGG